AUUGCAUUCUACUUUCAAUCUUCCAACAAUCUUAAAAUUCUUGUUAUUUUUAAAAGCCUUUUCUUUAUAAGAUAUGCAUCCGUCAAAUGUAUACGUACAUCCUGGUCCAGUAGAGCAUGAUGUAUUAAAAAUUCAAGUUCACCAUCGUUCCGAAGGAAUUUGGAAUGGUAGCAUAAAAGAAGAGAGGUCUUGCUUAUAUACGCGUCGUGGUGAUAUUGAAUUUUGGCAACAUAUAAAAUAUCAUCCAUUACAUUCUCGCAUCCUUCAAUAUUUUGAAAAUUGUAGAUUUAAAGGAAUUCUUGAUGUAGGAUGUGUGCCGUAUGACUCCGGAUUAAUUUCUGCUUUAAUUGAAAGGUGGCGUCCAGAAACUCAUACUUUUCACAUGCGAACUGGCGAGACUACCAUAACUUUACAAGAUAUUGAAAUUUUAUUCGGAAUGGUAGUAGAUGGUAGUCGUAUAAUUUUAAAUGGAGCUGAUUCUUUAGGGAUUAUAGGUAGACAAGAAAUGAUAUUUGAAUUAACAGGAUGGUUACCCGAUACUAGUUGUUUUUCUGGUGUUAGUAGAUUGUUAACAUAUAAAUUGAUUGAUUAUAUCGAAGGUUUGGAUGGUAUUAAUGAUAACUCAAAUGAGCAUGAAGUUCAACAAAGAUUUAGAUUAUAUUUAUUAUGGUUAUGUGGUGGAUCAAUAUUUUCCGGAUAAAUCUAAUAAUAAGAUUAAUUUAGACAUUUUGAUUGACAUGAGAAAUUUAGAUUUAAUGUCAACUCAAGCAUGAGGAUCAACCACAUUAUCAUAUUUGUAUAAUUGUUUAUGCCGUGCAUCAAUGAAAAAAUCAAAUGAAGUUUGUGGAUUUCUCUCUUUAGUGCAGGUAUACAUAUUUUUUAAUUAAAUAUUUUUUGUAUACUAGUAAUAUGCACUUUUAAAUUCAAGUGCAUUAUAAGUAAUGGUGAAUUUAUUUAUUGUAGAUUUGGGCAUGGGAAAGAAUUAUUCCCCUGCAACCAUUGUCAAAGCCUCUAAGAACCAAUCAACUUGAGGCUUCCACUGCGGUUGCACGUAAAUGGAUGCGACGUAGAAAUUAUCAAAAUGAGGCACGAACUGUAAUCGGUGUGAUUAGGAUUGUACUAGAUAAUCUAACUGAUGAACAGUUUAUUUGGCAGCCUUAUUCGGAAGAUGUUAUUAAUGGAUUGCCUGAGUGGUGUCGGUCAGGACAACGCGUCUGGAUGGCACAGGUGCCACGAUUUAUGGAAUUUAUCGUGAGUGGCACAUGGUUGAUCGUGUUGUGAGACAAUUCAGUUAUUUACAACAUAUUCCUGGACCGUGUACCCAAUUUCCGAAUAUCAUUUUAAGCGUGAUAAACGAUCCAAAAUAAAACAAGAAGAUAUAGAUGCAUUUAACUACAUAUGGGAACAACGUCAAAAUCGUAUAUUUCAACCUCCAUUUGUAAGUGAUCAAACAGAUUACUUUCGUUGGUACAUGAGGCAUACCCGCAUGGUCAUUGGAAAUCCACAAUAUGUUGUACAAAAAGGGUAUCAACACAUGGCAGGAAGACAUGAGGCAUUAGCUAGGGGUCAUGAAAUGCAGUAUCGUCGAGCUCGGAUGAUUGAAAAUGAUGAAAAUCAAUCUAAUGAAAUGAGACAAUAUGUAGAGGAAGUCGCUCGGUUCUACUGUUAAUUUUACUAGUCAGCAAACAAUUGGUUUUGUAACUCCACAGGUUUCAAUAUUUGGUUUUGCGCAAUUUAGAGGAUCUCAAUAUGGUAUUCAACAUGGUAUGCGUGAAUUUCCUAUACAUAAUUCUCCAUUUGGUGGAAGAUUGAAUUUUUCAAAUGUAACUGUGUCCGAUGAUUCAAGAUUUAAUGCUGGGGUUCACAACAUUUAGUUCUUAAUAGACAAAAUCCACCUCGGAGAACAUCUAGGCUACACAAAUCAACUAGAUGUGGAACAGGUAGUCACUAUCAAAUUGAGGAAGAUUUUGAAAAUGAAGAUGAAAAUGAAGAUGUAGAAGAUUCGGAUUCAGAAGAAUAAUUUUUUUUAUGCACCUUUAUUCUAAAAGGCUGAAGAUUCGAAUUUUAAAAUAUGUAAAUUUUGUUGUUUCGUGCAAGUCUGAACAAAGUAA
Non-coding RNA from Solanum lycopersicum (tomato), 2111 nucleotides. The record is from RefSeq and is a predicted model, not a curated record. NCBI's taxonomy places the organism in Eukaryota, Viridiplantae, Streptophyta, Magnoliopsida, Solanales, Solanaceae.